GGCGAACGCUGGCGGCAGGCCUAACACAUGCAAGUCGAACGGAUCCUUCGGGAUUAGUGGCGGACGGGUGAGUAACACGUGGGAACGUGCCCUUUGGUUCGGAACAACUCAGGGAAACUUGAGCUAAUACCGGAUGUGCCCUUCGGGGGAAAGAUUUAUCGCCAUUGGAGCGGCCCGCGUCUGAUUAGCUAGUUGGUGAGGUAAAGGCUCACCAAGGCGACGAUCAGUAGCUGGUCUGAGAGGAUGAUCAGCCACAUUGGGACUGAGACACGGCCCAAGCUCCUACGGGAGGCAGUAGUGGGGAAUCUUGCGCAAUGGGCGAAAGCCUGACGCAGCCAUGCCGCGUGAAUGAUGAAGGUCUUAGGAUUGUAAAAUUCCUUCACCGGGGACGAUAAUGACGGUACCCGGAGAAGAAGCCCCGGCUAACUUCGUGCCAGCCGCCGCAGUAA
This 449-nucleotide ribosomal RNA is filed under the name uncultured bacterium. RNAcentral describes it as "partial 16S ribosomal RNA". It matches the Rfam family "Bacterial small subunit ribosomal RNA", at positions 28 to 523 of the family's 1533-position model. The record is from RNAcentral.